CAGAGGGAACUGCCAAUCCAGGAGCCAUGUGGUGUCCUUGUAGUGUCCUUUGUUGUCUUUUUUUUAAUAAGUUGGCAUAUUUGGUGUCAGAGAUAUGGGAUGUGAAGUGACUUUCCACCUAUUUCUGGGGCUGCUGUUGGUUUGGAGCAAGACCCCUGUGUGAGCCUCCUGUGCUCUGUCAUCUCCCUGACAGCCUCAGGCCAGAUAAACUUUAUAAGUUUUUGAAAUUGAGAGAAUGACUGUAAAUGAAAAGUAAGCAAGAAAAGUAGGCUAUGUGUUUUCAGUGAAAGAAGAUAUGAAGAAUGAAGAUGGAAUUUUGUUGAAGGAAAAAGAAAGCAAUUUUGUUCUAAAAUAAAAUGAUUGUUCCAAAAUAAAAAAAAAAAGGACAAAACAAGACAUAAAAAAUUGUAGAAGGGAAUCUUUAAAAAGAAAUUUUAAUGUGUGGUCAAGCUGGCUAAGAUUAAAGUGAAUUUAUUGAAAAAUAAAUUUUAAUAUCAAAAGUACACUGGUGCAAAAUUAAAAUUCGGACAUUAAUUAAAAGUACAAAGAACA
Long non-coding RNA from Diceros bicornis minor, 552 nucleotides. RefSeq lists it as uncharacterized. The record is from RefSeq and is a predicted model, not a curated record. Lineage: Eukaryota; Metazoa; Chordata; Mammalia; Perissodactyla; Rhinocerotidae. The transcript has 3 exons.